GACGUAGGGCGCGAGCGUUGUCCGGAUUUAUUGGGCGUAAAGAGCUCGUAGGCGGCUUGUCGCGUCGUCCGUGAAAACCCACAGCUCAACUGUGGGCUUGCGGUCGAUACGGGCAGGCUAGAGUUCGGUAGGGGAGACUGGAAUUCCUGGUGUAGCGGUGAAAUGCGCAGAUAUCAGGAGGAACACCGGUGGCGAAGGCGGGUCUCUGGGCCGAUACUGGCGCUGAGGAGCGAAAGCGUGGGGAGCGAACAGG
This 253-nucleotide ribosomal RNA is filed under the name uncultured bacterium. RNAcentral describes it as "partial 16S ribosomal RNA". It matches the Rfam family "Bacterial small subunit ribosomal RNA", at positions 524 to 776 of the family's 1533-position model. The record is from RNAcentral.